GAUGAAGAACGCAGUGAAAUGCGAUAAGUAAUGUGAAUUGCAGAAUUCAGUGAAUCAUCGAAUCUUUGAACGCACCUUGCGCCCUUUGGCUAUUCCAGAGGGCAUGCCUGUUUGAGUAUCAUGAACACCUCAACUCUCAUGGUUCUGCCAUGAUGAGCUUGGACUUUGGAGGUCUUGCUGGCCCCUGUGGUCAGCUCCUCUCAAAUGGAUCAGCUUGCCAGUGUUUGGUGGCAUCACAGGUGUGAUAACUAUCUACGCUUGUGGUUUUCCACCAGGUAACCUUCAGUGAUGGAGGUUCGCUGGAGCUCAUAAACGUCUCUCCUCAGCGAGGACAGCUUCUUGAACGUUUGAUCUCAAAUCAGGUAGGGCUACCCGCUGAACUUAAGCAUAUCAAUAAGCGGAGGA
This 405-nucleotide unclassified non-coding RNA is filed under the name soil metagenome. RNAcentral's name for it is "partial contains 5.8S ribosomal RNA, internal transcribed spacer 2, and large subunit ribosomal RNA". The stretch from base 1 to 121 matches the Rfam family "5.8S ribosomal RNA", at positions 35 to 154 of the family's 154-position model. The record is from RNAcentral.